RNAcentral lists this long non-coding RNA (776 nucleotides) under Homo sapiens (human). RNAcentral describes it as "non-protein coding lnc-TMUB2-1:8". Lineage: Eukaryota; Metazoa; Chordata; Mammalia; Primates; Hominidae. The record is from RNAcentral.
AGAGUCACCUCUGCUUUCAGCCAGGAUGUCCACUUGGGGGGGUACUGCUACCAGAAGUAGAAAUGGCCCUAGGACCCUACAACCUUCACCCCACUCUGUCUUCCCUUGAAAUCAGCCUGCCACUCCACGAGGGGAGCAGAGCCCACAGGAGCCUAGAGCUAAGGGACAUUUCUAGCCACCAUGAGCAGGAACGGCGGGGGGUGGGGGGGAAGAGCCUGGUAGGGUGGCACGCCAGGAGCGGGCACUCCCCUUACCUGUUCUUCCUUUAAAUAACCACCCGCCCUCCCUCAGGACCAGCCCGGAAGUCUCUCCAAGAGCCCCAAAGUCCAGGAACCCCCACCCAAGGAUUCAGACACAGAACCCACAACCCAGGGCCCCUCGGAACGCCCACUCCAGGCUUGCGGACCAACAAGCGGCCGAGAUGAGGGUCCGCUGCUGAGGUCGGAGGCCGAGCUGCGCCCUUCUGCGCGGAGCGCCCUCCCCGCCCCUCGUCCUAAUUUAGAUCCCACACCUGCUCGCCUUUCCUGCUUCCGGAACCCACGCUGGACCCCCACCCCUCCAGACAGCCUCCUUGUCACUGGCCAGAUCCUUCCCCCGACCCAGUGCUGUUCCCCUGGGUGCAGCGUGUCCCUGUGCUCACGCUCUCAGUCCCUCUUUACCUUAGGAAGGGACAGGCCUUUUCCCAGCCGCGGUGGAUGGCUGGAUUGGCGCUUUCAUCUCGGUUACUCUGUGUGUGGUGUCCUGGAACGGUUGUGUGACAGCCCUCUCCCCUCAAG